This 374-nucleotide unclassified non-coding RNA is filed under the name uncultured bacterium. RNAcentral's name for it is "contains 16S-23S intergenic spacer region". The record is from RNAcentral.
UCCGGUUUGUCACCGGCAGUCCCUCUAGAGAUCUCCUUGCGGAGCAACUAAAGGCGAGGGUUGCGCUCGUUGCGGGACUUAACCCAACAUCUCACGACACGAGCUGACGACAGCCAUGCAGCACCUGUGCACGAUCUCCGAAGAGGGGCUCUCGUUUCUGAGAGCUUGCUCGUGCAUGUCAAGCCUAGGUAAGGUUCUUCGUUUAGCAUCGAAUUAAAGAACAUGAUCCACCGCUUGUGCGGCUCCCCGUCAAUUCCUUUAUGUUUUAGUCUUGCGACCGUACUCCACAGGCGGGAUACUUAACGCGUUAGCUUCGCUACUGAAGGGGUCGAUACCUCCAACAGCUAGUAUCCAUCGUUUACGGCGUGGACUAC